AGUGAACGCUGGCGGUAGGCCCAACACAUGCAAGUCGAACGGCAGCACAGGAGAGCUUGCUCUCUGGGUGGCGAGUGGCGGACGGGUGAGGAAUACAUCGGAAUCUACUUUUUCGUGGGGGAUAACGUAGGGAAACUUACGCUAAUACCGCAUACGACCUACGGGUGAAAGCAGGGGAUCUUCGGACCUCGCGCGAUUGAAUGAGCCGAUGUCGGAUUAGCUAGUUGGCGGGGUAAAGGCCCACCAAGGCGACGAUCCGUAGCUGGUCUGAGAGGAUGAUCAGCCACACUGGAACUGAGACACGGUCCAGACUCCUACGGGAGGCAGCAGUGGGGAAUAUUGGACAAUGGGCGCAAGCCUGAUCCAGCCAUACCGCGUGGGUGAAGAAGGCCUUCGGGUUGUAAAGCCCUUUUGUUGGGAAAGAAAUCCAGCUGGUUAAUACCCGGUUGGGAUGACGGUACCCAAAGAAUAAGCACCGGCUAACUUCGUGCCAGCCGCCGCGGUAA
This 506-nucleotide ribosomal RNA is filed under the name uncultured bacterium. RNAcentral describes it as "partial 16S ribosomal RNA". It matches the Rfam family "Bacterial small subunit ribosomal RNA", at positions 29 to 523 of the family's 1533-position model. The record is from RNAcentral.